Molecule: non-coding RNA, 73 nt
Organism: Stegodyphus mimosarum
Lineage: Eukaryota; Metazoa; Arthropoda; Arachnida; Araneae; Eresidae
Source: Rfam
ACCUUCGUGGUGUAGUGGUCAGCACGCUCGAUGCGUAACCGAGAGUUCCGUGGUUCGAUUCCCGGCGAAGGUG